Molecule: long non-coding RNA, 1693 nt
Filed under: Ananas comosus (pineapple)
Lineage: Eukaryota; Viridiplantae; Streptophyta; Magnoliopsida; Poales; Bromeliaceae
Description: long non-coding RNA (ACOM_LNC037556)
Source: RNAcentral
UGCUAAGAAACCCCCUUGGUGUCACGCCCCGGGACCCAGCGGAAGCCCGCCCGGCGCGUGCCCAGACCCGCCAUACGUCUAAAACGUAUAAGGCGUCUAGUAACAACAAAUAUAAAAGCAAUAUUAAAGGACAUCUAGGAAUAUCAGAGCAUAAUAAAUGUCUCUAUGCUACAACAAAGGAUAAGGAAAAGCUGUAAGUCCACUAAAUAAGGCAUAAAGUAAAUACAAUAGGAAAUCCCAAAUACAAGUGCUAAGAGUAGAUACAUAGGUGGUCUCUAUACAGGGUACAAAACCCUCACUCUCUCAACUACAAAAGAAAGAGUAAACCACCUAGGCAAGUAAGCUCCUCGCUAGCUAGCUACGCGAUCCCCUUGCCGCGAUCCCGUGCCUCCGCCGGUGCCGAAGGCUCUGAAAAGGAAACCAUAAAACAGGGGCGUGAGAACUAUCAAAAAUAGUUCCCAGUGGGCAAUUACUGACUUCAGUGAAUGCACCACAAGGCCCAAAGCUACAAAAGAGGUUAGUGACUAUAGAUGUAGAAAAGCGAAAGGUAAGUAAAAUGUAACUUACUACAACAUGAUAUCUCUACUUAGCCUAAAUAGCAUAAGUAUGAAACAACUAUGCAUGAAGUAAAAGUCUCCAACUAUCAUAAUGUUCACAAUGCGAAAUAGUAAAGUUCUAUUGUUUACUAUUCUAGUCAAUGUCCAAAUAAUACUCUAAAUCAUCAUCUGUCCACAUGUCAUAACGAAUACUCAAGUCGAAUCUGAAGAGACCCACCCGAAGGCUGUCUAUGGCCCUGAGACCCACCCGAAGGCUGUCUGGCCGGUGCCGAGCCUAAUGGCCCCGUGGUAGUCAUCAUCCCCACCCUAGGGAUGAGCCUGUCCCACGGCAAUCCACUUCGGCGCCCAAUCCCGCACGGCGAAUAUGUAUCGCGAUGGCUAUCUCCGGAGUGCCGGCUUGUAGGGAGCGACCCUCACAAGCAUGUGCGAAUGAGCACAAUGGCAAGUAGUCAAACGAUCUGUCGCAAGUACCAAGUCCUCAUGUCUAAUAACAUGGAAUGUAUCGAGUGUCCCAAAGGCCUAUCUCUAUGUCAUCAUGUCUCUAACAUGGAAUAUAUAUAGCAGAUGUACAAAGGCCUAUCAAUAUAUCUCUAUGUUGCAGUUCCAUAGUUCACUAGUUUCGAGUGCCCCUUUAUGACACUCUUGUUUUCUAUGUCAAAACAUGGCAACUAUGUUCCAAAGCACAUAUUCCAAGUCAUAAUCCUCAUAAGAGAUGUAUUUUCCACUUGUAAAAUAAACACUUUUCCCAUAUGCAUGCAUUCUACUCAUAUAGCUCUACUAUAUAGUGAAAUUUUCAUAAUACACAAGGCAUGCAUUUUAAGUGCUCUAAAAUUCAUAUAAAUUCCAUUUAGCAUAGAAAUGAAUUUAAAAAUAUUUUACAACAAGUAGAAAGAGCAUAGGGGCCAUUUCGCCCCAUUUCCACGAAGCCAAACCCACCGAUGACAACGAAACUCCUCGUGCGCUCCAACGAGGGUGUCCUCUAGUCUCCUAGUACCCUAGAGGUAGAGAAACAUGCGUCACACGAACGAAACGAACCAUCAAUAGCUCAAUCAUUAAGCUAAUCAAGUAUAGGUGAGAAGAACUCACCUCUAGUGCAAAAAUCUCCUCUAAAGCUCCAAAAUGAAGCUAGGGCUCAU